This is a long non-coding RNA of Triticum dicoccoides, 5484 nucleotides long. RefSeq lists it as uncharacterized. The transcript is spliced from 6 exons. The record is from RefSeq and is a predicted model, not a curated record. NCBI's taxonomy places the organism in Eukaryota, Viridiplantae, Streptophyta, Magnoliopsida, Poales, Poaceae.
GCACACCACCGCCGCCGCCGCGAAUCCCCGAGGACGCCGCACGCCGCCGCCGUCGCGAAUCCCCAGGGAUGCCGCACGCCACCGCCGUCGCGAAUCACGAGAGACGCCGCUCGCCGCCGCCUCGGAUCCCCAAGGGCGUGGUCGCAUUGCCCUGAUUGGAGGAGACCCUGCCGGCCUUGCCUUGUUUGGAGGAUGAACACAGGUAUUUCGAGGCCCAUGUGUGUCAAUCCCGACCUCCGCUUUCCCCUUUUUCCAUCGAGGGCCGCCGCCGCUGCUUCGUCUUCUAUCUCUCCGGAUCCCCAUCGGCACCUGCUGGAUGGUGCUCCGGGAACAGGGCCGCACGGAGGCCCUCCUCCCAUAGGAUGUGCAGAUGCGGCGCGCCUUGCAGCGGCUGUUCGGGAUGAGCGCGGGCGCGACAACCUUGUCCCAGUCGAUGAUGGCGGCGGCGAACGCCGAUGCUCCUUCUCGUCCUCUACCUCCAAGGACGCGCACCGGUACAGCUUAGGCACCCCCGUCCCCAAAUCCCAUCCACCCAUCCGGCGUUGUCCAGCUCAUCCUCACGCUCGUGGAUUCGCCUCCUCCUGUACGCGACACUUGAAACGUGGACGUGUCUGAAGCAGAACCUCCGUCUUCUAUCUCAACGUCGGCGGCCCGCCGACGCCGACUCCUUAUCGACGCCCGUCGGCGGCCCGGUGACGCGACCAGAUCACUGCAAAUUGCUCCAUUCAUGUCAGCAGCCUAAUCAGGUUUAUUGUAGAUUGGAGUUGUCCCUUCACUCUUGAUCAAUAACCAGAUAUUGGCAAGCUUGAGUUAUCCAUGGAUGCAUGGAAAAGAUUAUCCAUUGUUGUGAUAUGCAUAUAUGUAGGAUUAAAUUCAUCUGAAUUAUGAGCUAUGUCACACUUUGCAGAGUACAGAGACUUCAGUUCACAUAAUCUGUUUGUACAUAUGUUGAUGUCAGGUGGAGGUGGUCGUGCUGGCGCCACUGUUUCGCUUCGUGCUGAUGCGGUAUAAAAGUGCCUCCUCGGCAGAUGAGGACCUGAGCAUGGUCGUGCUAAUGAGGAUGCAAGAUCCACCGCCACCGGCCAGUCUGAGUGAUUGCAGAGAACUUCACAGGCAGAUCAAUUACGAGGAGGUCAAGGCUGAGCUGGAGUGGGGUGGGCGCCAACAUGAAGGAGCUGGAGAUAUCUCUAUUUUUGUCGGUCAUUAUUCAGGCUCUAAAGCUUCCCCUUUUCCUAUACCACAUUACUUGAUAUUAUUAGAUUCAGUAAGCUUACUCAACUGUGAACAAGUUCAUGUGGUAAGUAGGAUCAACAAGAGUUGGCUGGCAACUUCUAUGUAUAUGUUAUUAUGGAUCAGCCAAGGUGGUUAAAUUUUCAUUUUUUUUCCUUUUUCUUAAUUUAAGCCCUUAAGUUUAUGUUGUUAAAUGCAUACACAUAACUUAGUUCCAGAUUUAACAAGAGUACAUUUUACAACAAACUUCAUAGCUGAUGUUGAUCAUAAUUAGUAAGUGUACAAAGCAUUUCAAGGAAUUUCUGUUUUGUGCAUAUUGUAUAUUGCAGACUUGCAGUGAAGUAGUGCCAUCUAAGUACCAGAUGUAUGUUAUUUUCAGAUAAGCUUUACUUAAAAUGGAAAAUACUAAAAAAGCAAAUUGUGCCACACCGUGCAAUUAAGGUGCCUUUUACUGGAAACUCAAUGCAACUUCUUGUUAUUUUCAAAUAAGCUUUUCUUAAAAUGGAAAACACUAAAAAGCAGAUUGUGCCACACCGUGCAAUUAAGGUGCCUUUUACUGGAAACUCAAUGCAACUUCUUGUUAUUCCUUCUGAACCUAGCAAUUAAGCCAUAUCUUGUUUUCACUCCUUCUGAACCUAGCAAAAUGACCUACUUGGACCGAACGAGGACAGGUGUGUGGUGGUGGACAUAAGAUGCACGGCGAACAUUGAGCUACAAAAGAACAUUAUGAAAGAGGUUGGAGAGGCUGGAGGAGACCGUAUACCGACACAAAGCUCAUCUUGAUGGCCAUCAAUGAGGAGCUGAACCUGCUACACCAGGCUAAUUGCAAGCAUCGGGAUGACUUGGACGAGAGGACUGUAGCACGACGCAAUGAAGAGCCAGAUCGUCCGUCCGCUCCCAGCUCACUUCCCGGUUCUGUUGUGCUGCCCCGUGCACCAACCAUCCAGUAAAGGUUCUGAGGUUAACAUCUCUUUUGCGAGUUUCGUAUAACUUUUGUUGUCACUUUAUUAUCUAUUGAUCCACAUGUUUGUAUUUUAGCAGACAUGAGUUACUUUAUCAUCUUUCCAGGAAGAAAUUGCUAGAGAGAAGAAAACUCAGUUUUACAAGUAGUGACAGUCCAACAUCAUAUUGACAAGUCUGGUUUCUCUUUCCAUAUACAUAAGUGUAUAAUUUGUUUUAAGUAACUGUUUCCUCGGUCCUUAUUGCCACGGUUUUCUCAAGUGCAACCGCGAGCUUAGUAAUAGCAAGAUAGAAAUUUGAGAUGGCAAAACUGUACGUCCAAUACAAUUUCUAACCUGUGCUUGACUACUUGUUGCUUCUUGCAGUUUGGUUCUUUAAAUAACAAGAAGAGAUGGCAAAACUUUACUCACAAGAAGUUGUGUAAUUUGGAAAGAUAGCUGAUCGAAAUAAACUGUCAUUGUCAUAAAUUUUGUACUGUACAUCAUACGAUUGGCCUGACCAUCUUCUUCGUCAGUGUCGGAUGUUCGACAUCAAUCUCCAUCUUUUCAUUUUCAGAAUCGCACGUGGGGUUAGUAAAGACUUCUUCAUAUUUGCUUUUGUUGCCACUGCUGCAGGAGAGUUGCCACCUGAUAGCGAUGUUGUCCCUUCAGAAUUGUUUUAAGUUCUUUUUUGCUGGUAUAAGUGCGGACUUUUGCAUUAAGCAUGACAUGGAAUUUGUUUUAUGUAAAUAUUGAUGCUUCACAACGAAUUCAUGUUGUGAAGGGUGAUGAUUUACCUUCAGUACAAUCUGUUAUAAGUUGUAGUUUAUUUUGUUUUCAUGUGUUAUUUGCAGAGAAUAUAUGGUUCGUAUUUAUUAGGCUUAUUUCAUAUAGCCUUUUCUGGUAGCAUAUUUGUAACAGAAACGCAUUAGCCACCCUGUUCAUGAUUCAUAACACAUGCGUUUUAGUGGGAUGGAGGUAAUAUUGAGAGAGACAGACCCAUCGGGCUAAGGAAUAGAAAUAGUAUAUCUUUUGAGUCUACCAUCUUCUAUGCCAAGCAGGGUCGAGUGGGGUGAUAUACUAGGCGCUUUUCUUCUAAAUUGUACAGAAAGUCCACUGAGUUAUUGUUGUUUGUAUGCCACCUUAGAGCGAAAUAGUACUUCUUUUAAUCAUUUUUAGGUGAAAUACAAGCAUGUAGCUACCUCACUUAAUUAUUGUACUCACUUGAAGUUUAUGUUGAUAUAAUGCACUAUUUAAGUAGUAGAGAAACCUCACAAAUUUAAAUUGAUGAAUGAUAUUUAGGAAAAGAAGUAGGCAUGUUUCAUUAUAAAGGGAAAGUAUUUUUCAAGGCAUAGUGUUUAAUUCACGAAUGGUUAAACAGUUUAACAGGGACCAACACUGGGUAGCAGGGGAGUGGCAGUGCAUAGAGACAUAGUGAGGGGAGCGGGGGCGAUGAUGGAGGCGGAGAUGUUUAGAGAGAGAUAUAGAGAGUGGGAGGUUUACCAUGGUGCAAUUGAAAACUGAGGCACGCCUUGCUAAGACAAGCACACUUUAAAACAUAGCAAUACUCUGCAUUGUUUUGAUGUUGGUAUCAGGACCAGGUACCAUGUGAAGCUCAAGGAAUGGUUGUAAAUCAUUAUGGAUAAACUGAAAAAAGAUCAUUAUGGAGUACAUUAUAAACGACAUUUGGUGUCGGCGGCAUGUCACUACCACUGACAAAGUUCUCUGAAACACGAUUACUAUCAUUUGAAAAUAAAUGCUGGCAAAGAUAUUAAAAUUCAAAUCUGGCUUAUUUUUCUCAAUAUGGGUUCAGAAGGAAAUUGUCGUUGAGCUUCUAUCUAAAGGUAUGUCAGAUUAACAGGUUGCUAUUGCAACUCUUGAUUUGGAGUAAUGCAAAGUAACUGUGGAUCUUGUCGUCGGUACAUCUUGGGUUGCCAUUCUUCUAGAACGAAGGAUUUUUUUCUCUAGAUUGUGCUAUGAAAUAAUGCUUGUAUAACACCUUGAUCUCUUGGCUACACCAUGCUUUCUUGAGAACACUAUACUUGCAGAAGAAUGAUGCUUCUAUAGAAUGCCACCAUGCGUUCUGGCAGUUCUUUUAAUUCUGUGUUCACUAUGGACAAAUGAACCAUAUAAUUUGUCAAUAUAAUCAGUACUUGCUUUCAUGUUGCAAUCUCAGAUUUAGGCACUUAAUAGCCAUAGAAUAAUUUUGAAUUGUUAUGCUCAGUACACCAAAUGUUGUUCCUAGGUAAUGCACUGUUUGCAACUAAGUUUUGUCUUUAAGCACCAAGGUGUAGUAGUAUGCAAUGAAAUAAAUGGAUCAUUUCUAUCUUUCUGGUGCUCAUAAUAGACUUUUUCAUUUUGAAUUUGUAUGCUUGAAAUUUGAUUAUUUCUACCAACUGAGAGUGGAAAUGAACUGUACCGUAGGCACUUUUUCAUUAGAUUUCAGCAGCCUUGAUGGCUGAUGGCAGCAACCUCAUGGGCCACACAUCCCCUUCUUUAAUUGCAUGCCCUCAAAAAAUGUAUGGGGACUUGGUUCUUUGGUUGUCGCCGCCGGACUCAGUGAAGGACGAAAAAUUAAGAUGAUCCAGUGGAGAAUAGAUGCCACGGGCUGAAGAAAGGAGGCGACGGUUUCAGAGCACACACCUUGAAGCAGAGAGGCGGCAAGGGAGUGCGUCUGGAUGGCAGAGGGAGCGGGACAAAGCAACAUCGCAUGGGAGACAUGGUCAAAAUCGGCGCCGUAGGAGCAAUCGUGCGUGUGGGGGUCGUACCAGGGAGAAGGAAAAGGGUGGUCGGUUUUCUAGGGCUUUUUUCCUUGCAUCGGGAAAUGGGUUCGGUUGAAAAAAACGAUGAUGUGGGAAGGUCACGCGAGUGGUGGAUACGUGGGUACCAUUUAACGUACCAACUGCGGUUUAAUAGUAGAGAUUAAGACGUUGAUAUUUUAUUCAUUUUCUUCUUAGCUGAACAUUCAUUAAACCAAAAAUCUAUGAAACUUGUAAUGUAUCAUGGUCGCAAUUUGUGAAGUAGAACUAACUAUCCUUUGACCAAAUACCCUUUGAUCAUUCAUCAAUUUUGAUGUACUUGUCGCCCGUGACAACAAAUAUGGAUCAAAUAACUAUGCACUAUGGGCACUAAUAUGGUUACCUUCGAAUGUGUUUGUUACUGUGUUUAGUUACUAUGAUGUUUCAUAUGUUCAUCAAAAAAAUAAAGGCUUAUUUGCUUGCAUGUGCUUUCUCAUGUUUGUUUGUUUUUUCUUGUGGUUGUUCCUUUUCUAUAAUUGUCACAUAAAGUGAACUGAAACUCAUAUUCUAUAUUUCUG